RNAcentral lists this ribosomal RNA (242 nucleotides) under Clostridioides difficile. RNAcentral's name for it is "partial 16S ribosomal RNA". It matches the Rfam family "Bacterial small subunit ribosomal RNA", at positions 151 to 392 of the family's 1533-position model. The record is from RNAcentral. Lineage: Bacteria; Bacillati; Bacillota; Clostridia; Peptostreptococcales; Peptostreptococcaceae.
CCGAAAGGUAUGCUAAUACGGGAUAAUAUAUUUGAGAGGCAUCUCUUAAAUAUCAAAGGUGAGCCAGUACAGGAUGGACCCGCGUCUGAUUAGCUAGUUGGUAAGGUAACGGCUUACCAAGGCGACGAUCAGUAGCCGACCUGAGAGGGGGAUCGGCCACAUUGGAACUGAGACACGGUCCAAACUCCUACGGGAGGCAGCAGUGGGGAAUAUUGCACAAUGGGCGAAAGCCUGAUGCAGCA